Long non-coding RNA from Chelonia mydas (Green sea turtle), 2418 nucleotides. RefSeq lists it as uncharacterized. The transcript is spliced from 2 exons. The record is from RefSeq and is a predicted model, not a curated record. Lineage: Eukaryota; Metazoa; Chordata; Testudines; Cheloniidae.
ACCCACUGGCAGCCCCCCCAUCAGAUUCCUCCCCCACAGUCCCUCCCACCUGCCCCAGUGGGCCCCACCGGUCAGUACCUCCUCCUCCCUCCCAGCGCCUCCCAUUUGCCACAAACAGCUGUUCGCUUCCUGUUAUGCAGGAGCCUGGGGGAGGGGAUGGAACUGUGUGGGAAGAGGUGGGGCAUGGGUGGGGCCUGGAAGAAGGGGUGGAGUGGGGGCCGGGCCAGGGGUUGGCUUCCCCCCCCCCCUUUGAAAAGUUAGAGCCUGUGAGUUAUAUAAAGAAAGAGCUAGAACAUUGCAUAAAAGGCCACUUGCUAGUAAAGUGCAUCGGAGAAGGGGAGGGCUGUGCAGAAGGAUCUGGGAAGCUAGUAGGAGAAGCUAAAGACAAACUGAUGCAGAGAGAGAGAAAAGAAAGCUGGAGUGGAGCAAAACUGAUUGACCAGGAGCUGAACAACAGCAGUAGUGAUUUGAUUUUUUUUUAAAAGCAAGCAGCAAUGGAUUUAUAGAAUGACCUGUGCUGGAUGAAGAAUGAGGGAAGCUGGCCAGAGUAAAGGUGACAGUCUCAGGCUGAAGCUGAUCUCAUUUAUAUCAUAAAUAAGCUUUGAAGUUCCUGCAUCAUGAUUGGAUGGGUGGCAAAGAAGAGGUUCUUUGCUUCUAUCUUAACAGCCACAAAAUCUCAAUCAGUGGAUUUGCUGUUCACAGUGAACAGCUUGGUUAAUCUAAACUGCCUUGAUUUGGUAAUUGAUAUUCAUCUCUUCUGUUGUGAUGAAUUUUCAGAUUUUUUUGUAUGUAAAACUGAGCAGAUUGUCUCUGUUCCUUGACACAGACAGACAUUUGAGAAGACCUAACAUUGCCCUCUUCAAUCUUCUUGGCUGAGUUUAGGCAGGUAAUACUAUCUGAGGUGUUUUAUCCUAUGUUUUGUCCUUUGGACAAGUGUCUUUCCUGGCUGGUGAAGAAAUGGGGUCCAUUGCUAGUGGAGACCAUGAACCCUCCUAUGGGAGGACUGGAUGUUGGCUUUUCUUCAAGAAAUAAUUACUAGUCUUUGCUCAAUACACCAUUAUUUGAGGAGAUUAGACUGCUGCCAUGCACUCUUGACAAGAUAGACUAUUGCAUUGCAGUCUACAUGGCACUACACCUUAAAUCCGCUCAGAAAGUAAAGUAGAAAUGCAGCUGCCAGCCUAUUAAGCAGCUCCUCUUGGUAGGGGCAUAGGACACCAAUGCUCCAGGACCUACGCUGGCAGCCAGUUGGUUUCCUAGUGUAUUUUAAAUACAGCUUUUCAAUUUUUUUUAUUUUUUUGGGGGGGGAGGAAAUUUAAUGAAUUUUUUUGGCUGUGUAUUGGUAUAUAAAGAGGCCAACAAUUCUCAAAGUCAAAAUUUAGACAAAUUGCACACACAAAAAUCAACAUUUUUUCAUUAAAGUUUUCCCACAUUUUUCAAUCAGUUCUCAUUGUAAGGUGUUGAUCUUGACCUGGAGAAUUGUAACUGGCUUGUAAACUCUCUGUUUGAGAGACCACCUUCUCCUUGUGUCCUGCUGCCAAAACUGAAAUCCGUUAAGGUGCUUGAGCUGGAGUCAGACCCCUGAGCAUGAAAACAGGGGGAGCUGCUGUCAUGGGAUUCUCUCCGCUUUGAAACUUGCCCAACCUUGGUCUGAAAUAGUCUUUUGGAGGGAGGGGAAUGAAAAGGACUAUUAUUGUUUUCAGACGGGGAAGAUUUGUUGGCCUUGAGUUGUACUGUGGCUAGUUAUUUUGGGCUUAUGGAUGGGAAGUACUAGCUGGCUUUAUUUUUAAUUUGCUUGCAUUUUUAAUGUUCACAAGGGUGCCUAGAGCUGAGGAUAGGAGCUUUCUAAAGAUGUUAUAAAUCUAAACAAAUCAAAGAAAAAUAAUGUCCCUUUUGUCUUGGACGCAUGCCUGUCACAGUUGAGCACUAUUUCAUAACAGCAGGCCAGCCUCUUUAUGUGGGCCUUCUAGUAUACAUGGAUUCUAGCUGAAAGAGAAUUAAAGGAAAAGUUAACAGGAAUGUGGGGUGUGUAAAGUGGUGUGGAGUGACUUUUAACAAAGGGUUAUGUAGAAGGCUUUGUGGGAGACCAGCUGAGAGAACCCCAUUGCAUUUAGGGCUCAUAACUUUAUGAAAUGAAUUUGGAUCUGAAUAGAAUCCUCAGACAACAUGGCUUUGAACAAAUAGAGUAAAUAAUAAUAAAAACACUUAAGUGUUAAUAAUCUAACUGGCCACUGGAUGUCACCACUGUUCCACACUAAUGUAUCAGGGCAUUUAUCCUGUAGUACAAAGCUUCACACUUAACUAUCCGACACACACCCACCCUGGCCCAUGAUUUAAGGAUUGAAAUUUACUCUUUUGUGCACUGUAUUGAGCUGCAUGUGAUAUGCCUUUACUAACUGAGAAGAUAGCUAGCUAUGCCUG